This 1323-nucleotide long non-coding RNA is filed under the name Homo sapiens (human). RNAcentral's name for it is "HSALNT0400221". Lineage: Eukaryota; Metazoa; Chordata; Mammalia; Primates; Hominidae. The record is from RNAcentral.
GAAAGAAAGGAGGCACUGGGAAUGCUGAGGGGCUCUGGCAAAUGGUGAUUAUCUAUCCAGAGCCCUUUCUGAAGCAUUGCUCUGCAGACCCGCCAGCCAGGGUUUUCAUUAAGUAGCAUUAAGUCAUAACCUUAAGUAAUAAAGCAAGCAUGCAUAGAAGGGCAAAGCCAGUCACUUCUCAGACCCCGAACCCCUCAGUGAAGGUUGGUGCAUGCAACGGGCUGGCCCUUUGGUGGAGACUGAAGAAAGAGUUUAUUGCAGGUGGGAAUAUUAUUUAAACAGGGAUUGAUGGAGGACAAAAGGGGCUUCUGGUUCCAUGAGGCAGGAGAUAAAUGAGAUGGGAAUCCUGAGUCAUGCAUUUUAUUCACUUCUCUGGAACGAGUUUUGGGGGCUCAUUUAGCAGAGAAAAUAGGACAAGAAAAAUGGACUCAGCUGGCAUUGGACAGAGUCAAAGCCAAAUGACUUCUGGGUUCUAAAUUUUUUUGUUUUGUCUUUAUUCAUACGUGUUGGUUGUUUGGAUUGUUUUUCAUUGACCAUUGUAAGCUAAAUCCAUAUCAGGAGGAUCUGAAAAGCUCAUAAUAAAAAUAUAAAGUAGAGACCAAGGGUUGUAAAAGUGGCAUUUUACUCAAGAUAUAGUAAGGCUGUUUUACAAUAGUGGGUAGUAAUCAAUAAUUUAAAUGAAAACCCUCAAGGGUUAGAUGAUGAUAGAGCUGAUGUUCUUCUUAUUGACCAAGAUGCACCAACCAGUCUUGAAGAGGAUCUCGUUUUGUAAAGGAGCCAUGCAGAAGAAGAAUUCCCAGAGGGAGCCUAAUGUCUGUGAAAUGUCAUAUAUUGCUUACACAGAAACCAGUUACUCAAAGAGCUAUGCUGUUCUUAUGCCCUGUGAUGGAUCUACUGGGGAUAGAGAUAAGAGCCUGUCUGCCUGCCUCAGCCUGUGCACCUGAUCGUUCUUUUCCUGAAGCAACUUGUCAUGCCUUCACAGUGCACACCUGACCAGUUCCAAACCAAAAAGGGAUGUGCCUGGACGUGUGUGGAUAGAUGGCUGAGGGAGACAUUAUUGUUGUUGUUGAGCCUCCAUCAUCUCUCACCUGGACUGGUGCAGUCUUCUCCAAGACCCUAGGCUUCAGAAGCAGACGAGGGAACGAGCAGAAGAACAGAAGAACAGCAGAAUGGCAUGGCAGAGAGAAGAAAGGGACCAUCUGAACGCCAAGAGAAAUUCAGCUGGGGGAGGUCAGAGAGGAGAUAGACUGCAGGACAGCCAAGCUCCAGGGGAAGAUCAUCUUCCCACUCCAUCCCCUUUCCAGCUCCCCAUCCAUCCCGCUG